CUACGUAGGGGGCGAGCGUUGUCCGGAAUGACUGGGCGUAAAGGGCGUGUAGGCGGCUGGAUAAGUCUGGAGUGAAAGUCCUGCAUUCAAUGUGGGAAUUGCUUUGGAGACUGUCUGGCUUGAGUGCGGACGAGGUAAGUGGAAUUCCCAGUGUAGCGGUGAAAUGCGUAGAGAUUGGGAGGAACACCAGUGGCGAAGGCGACUUACUGGGCCGUAACUGACGCUGAGGCGCGAAAGCGUGGGGAGCGAACAGGAUUAGAUACCCUGGUAGUCCACGCGGUAAACGAUGAAUGCUAGGUGUAGGGGGUAUCGACCCCUCCUGUGCCGGAGUGAACACAAUAAGCAUUCCGCCUGGGGAGUACGGCCGCAAGGUUGAAACUCAAAUGAAUUGACGGGG
Molecule: ribosomal RNA, 397 nt
Filed under: uncultured bacterium
Lineage: Bacteria
Description: partial 16S ribosomal RNA
Rfam family: Bacterial small subunit ribosomal RNA
Source: RNAcentral